Molecule: transfer RNA, 73 nt
Filed under: Alloiococcus otitis
Lineage: Bacteria; Bacillati; Bacillota; Bacilli; Lactobacillales; Carnobacteriaceae
Also listed under: 1 other name
Description: tRNA-Lys
Rfam family: tRNA
About the family: Transfer RNA (tRNA) molecules are approximately 80 nucleotides in length. Their secondary structure includes four short double-helical elements and three loops (D, anti-codon, and T loops).
Source: RNAcentral
GGGCCAUUAGCUCAGCCGGCAGAGCAUUUGACUUUUAAUCAAAGGGUCGCUGGUUCGAAUCCAGCAUGGCUCA